UACCCCCAGGGGAAGUCGAAUCCCCGCUGCCUCCU
RNAcentral lists this transfer RNA (35 nucleotides) under Chusquea talamancensis. Its description in RNAcentral is "partial tRNA-Glu". Lineage: Eukaryota; Viridiplantae; Streptophyta; Magnoliopsida; Poales; Poaceae. The record is from RNAcentral.